This 518-nucleotide ribosomal RNA is filed under the name uncultured beta proteobacterium. RNAcentral's name for it is "bacterial SSU rRNA". It matches the Rfam family "Bacterial small subunit ribosomal RNA", at positions 36 to 538 of the family's 1533-position model. The record is from RNAcentral. Lineage: Bacteria; Pseudomonadati; Pseudomonadota; Betaproteobacteria.
AUAACCUGGCGGGAUGCUUUACACAUGCAGUCGAACGGCAGCACGGAUUCGGUCUGGUGGCGAGUGGCGAACGGGUGAGUAAUGCAUCGGAACGUGCCCAAUCGUGGGGGAUAACGUAGCGAAAGUUACGCUAAUACCGCAUACGAUCUAAGGAUGAAAGCGGGGGAUCCGCAAGACCUCGCGCGAAUGGAGCGGCCGAUGUUAGAUUAGGUAGUUGGUGGGGUAAAGGCUCACCAAGCCGACGAUCUAUAGCUGGUCUGAGAGGAUGAUCAGCCACACUGGUGACUGAGACACGGCCCAGACUCCUACGGGAGGCAGCAGUGGGGAAUUUUGGACAAUGGGCGCAAGCCUGAUCCAGCCAUUCCGCGUGCAGGAUGAAGGCCCUCGGGUUGUAAACUGCUUUUGUACAGAACGAAAAGGUCUGGGUUAAUACCCUGGGGUCAUGACGGUACUGUAAGAAUAAGCACCGGCUAACUACGUGCCAGCAGCCGCGGUAAUACGUAGGUGCAAGCGUUAAU